AUGGCUCACCAAGGCGACGACGGGUAGCCGGCCUGAGAGGGCGACCGGCCACACUGGGACUGAGACACGGCCCAGACUCCUACGGGAGGCAGCAGUGGGGAAUAUUGCACAAUGGGCGAAAGCCUGAUGCAGCGACGCCGCGUGAGGGAUGACGGCCUUCGGGUUGUAAACCUCUUUCAGCAGGGAAGAAGCGAAAGUGACGGUACCUGCAGAAGAAGCGCCGGCUAACUACGUGCCAGCAGCCGCGGUAAUACGUAGGGCGCAAGCGUUGUCCGGAAUUAUUGGGGCGUAAAGAGCUCGUAGGCGGCUUGUCACGUCGGUUGUGAAAGCCCGAGGCUUAACCUCGGGUCUGCAGUCGAUACGGGCAGGCUAGAGUGUGGUAGGGGAGAUCGGAAUUCCUGGUGUAGCGGUGAAAUGCGCAGAUAUCAGGAGGAACACCGGUGGCGAAGGCGGAUCUCUGGGCCAUUACUGACGCUGAGGAGCGAAAAGCGUGGGGAGCGAACAGGAUUAGAUACCCUGGUAGUCCACGCCGUAAAACGGUGGGGAAACUAGGUGUUGGCGACAUUUCCACGUUCGUCGG
Molecule: ribosomal RNA, 580 nt
Filed under: Streptomyces sp.
Lineage: Bacteria; Bacillati; Actinomycetota; Actinomycetes; Kitasatosporales; Streptomycetaceae
Description: bacterial SSU rRNA
Rfam family: Bacterial small subunit ribosomal RNA
Source: RNAcentral